GUUCCGAGAAAUGUGAUCCCUAUCUGCCCCAUCUCACAGAGCUUUUUGAAGUCUACAUUAGAAAGAAAUGCCUAACAAACCCACUUAGUUGAAACCUCUACAUUCAUCAUCUGCUCAGUGUACAAUUUUUGUGUUUUUGAGGUCAGCCUAUAUAUAUCCUGCUGUACUUCCUGUAAGGACCAUCAGCCAUAGGUUUCAGCAGUACUUUUCUAUAGCUUUUCUCAGCAUAGUGUUUGGAAGAAACCUGAUCACCAUUUCACACAGUUCUUGCUGACUACACUGAAGAGCCAACACAAAGAGACAAGAGAAAGCACCAGAGAGAUAUCGCUCACAGCAUGCCCCAAGACCAGAAUUCCCCACACAGUGAAAUCUCUGGCAGUUUAAAUUUUGGAACAUGAAGGAUUCUUCCAGAAUGCCAGCACAGCAUGGGAUUAAUGCAAUGCUGAAUCUGGCAAGACUUAGGUUCCACAGUUCCAUGGAAACCUUUUGCUUUCGGGAGCCCAGGAAGCAUUCCAGGUGAUCCUAAACUGCAGGCAUGGAGAAAAGUGUGGUUGUACAGGCUGCCUGGAGUAGAUACUGAAGAGGAGUUUCUACUCCGUUAUGGUGCUGGAAGAUUAGAGUUAAAGCAUGGAUUCUGUGUAUCUGACACAGGUCCUUCCAUCCUUUACAAAAUCAAGAGUGGCAGGGGCCUUGCCAAAAGGUUAAACAGAAGGGGUCCAAUAGGCCUCAAAGCAUAGUAUAUGAUGCAUGCACGCAUAACCAGGGCUGUUGCUACAAAAUCUGCAGUGGAGUAUGUGCAACAUUUGAGGUAGGUACCAAGCCACCACGAUGGGGCAAGCACUAUCAGUUAGGUAGAAGGGAGACCCCAUUUCAUUCCUUGCACCAGAGCUCAUGCCAAUUGCACUGUACCCACAGAACCACCUAGCAUAUGUUCCCUCCUGCCUCUACUACCAAUGAAUGCCCUUAAACCACUUCAGGUAAUAUAGCUGUGCCUAAAUAUACUCAUAACCAUAACUGUCCUUGUGAAAAAGAAAAAAAGGGUAACACAAUGAAACCUCGACGUGGCAGAAAAUGUGCAAAGCACAGUGGAUGUAGUCAUGUACUUUAAGUUACACUGAAUAGAAUGUGCAAUUUACACAUGUUGCUGUGUUAGUAGAUAAUUAUUUUCAACAUAUCUGAUACCAUGUUAAGUUUCCAAUAUCUAGUAUUUUCCAAAGCCACAGACUACAGCUAGAAAGAUUAUUUAAAACAACAUAUUACUCUCAGAUGUGUACAGGGGACUGUUAAGUUCAGCACAACACUUUAAAUCCCAUCAUAAUAAGGAUUUGGAUGUGUGCUAUUACAUCAAAACAGAUAAUGCACAAUACAUUUAAUAAGAAUUAGGCUUGCACAUUUGAGGGAAGAAAUAAAUCCCUGAGGGACGUAAUGUCAAGCCUGAUAUUCAGGCACCUAGCCAUGAACUUUGGUGAACUGCAAUGGAAGGUUUAUAGCAAACAUAAACCAAAAGCAUACUUGUAUUUUCACAAGGAAGAUGACAGACAUCUUUCUCACUGAUUCAACAUUCGUAACUUGCACUGCGAUCAAAAGCUCAGAACCUUUAUAGAAGCCACAUGGCAAUGAAAAAAAAAAAAAAGAAAAAAAGAAAAAAUGAAAAAGAAGAGAAAGUGGAUUGAGUAUCAAACACAUCACAAACCCAGCCAGAGGCUUAGAGUAGCUAACGUGAUACAGAGAUUUGAAGUAUGCAAACAGAAAAUCAGGCUUGCAUGCAGGAUACUCCGAUUCAACUGCAGUUUUUAAGCUCAACAUAAGAAUCUCUAAUAAAUCUAUUUCCUGUAGGACAACAUAAGAUGAUGAUAAAUCUUUAAUUCCUUAUUAUAUCUCUGAACAUAUCCACUUUUUCAGUGGUUUUGGUAGAUCAUACGAAACAAAUAUGUUUAUCCACUAGCAAAAGCAGUCCUGUGCUUCCAUAUUCUACAAAUUUGGGUUGUAUUUAUUCCAAAGAAAACAUAAGCAAAUAAUUAUGGAUAUGGAUGGAAACAACUCCUUUACUUUAUCAUUUCAGGAGAAUCAAAAUGUCAAUCACAGGGUCAUCCAAAUAAAUUGCUCACAAAUUUCAGUAAUAUCACAACAUUAUGUAUUUUCAUCCAGUUACACAAUCAAAUAGUUACACAGGGCUUGGUCUUAGGAACUCACUGCAUUCACAUACCCAGUAAAGUACACAGAAGUUGCAUGUGCAGAAAGCUUUCAGAUUUGAACACACACUUUAGAAUUUUGCACUGUCUUUCCUGAAAACAUGCUAAUUUGUUAUCCUUUUCAUUCAAAUGCCUCUCACUAAUAGCAUUUUAAUUUUAGUGAUUAAGUAAAUUUAUUAGAAUAUUUUAAGACAAAAAGAUGAUAAUGUAUGUUCACUUUAAUGCUGUUUUAAAACAUUAUUUGAUUAUCAGUAAGGAGAAAGCCAUAUUUUUCACAGGGAGUUACCUACCUUGACCUCCUCAGGGCUUCUUCAUCUGGAUCUUGCACUGCAGGCAAAAAAAUGUUUCAGUUAAAAAAGAAAGAAAGGAAGGAAGGAAAGAAUUGGCUUUAGGAUGAAAUUAUAAGUUCUUCAGAAACAUAUCAAAAGCCUAUCUAAAGGUGCAUUCAUGCUGACUUUGCAGCAGUGGAUUUUGUAAGAACAGCAUGAAGAGGAACAGCUCCCUAGAACCAGGACAAAGGAUGUUACUAGGAAAGUAGCUAUUACAACUACUUUCUCAUUCAUUUAUUAGCAGUGUUUCACAGCUGUAGGCAAUGAUUCUACAGAAAGGGCCUGCUGUUUUGUAGGAAAGCAU
Long non-coding RNA from Harpia harpyja (harpy eagle), 2825 nucleotides. RefSeq lists it as uncharacterized. The record is from RefSeq and is a predicted model, not a curated record. NCBI's taxonomy places the organism in Eukaryota, Metazoa, Chordata, Aves, Accipitriformes, Accipitridae. The transcript has 3 exons.